This 618-nucleotide ribosomal RNA is filed under the name uncultured soil bacterium. Its description in RNAcentral is "bacterial SSU rRNA". It matches the Rfam family "Bacterial small subunit ribosomal RNA", at positions 225 to 858 of the family's 1533-position model. The record is from RNAcentral.
AAGAGCCCGCGUAAGAUUAGCUAGCUGGUAAGGUAAUGGCUUACCAAGGCGACAAUCUUUAGCUGGUUUGAGAGGAUGAUCAGCCACACUGGAACUGAGACACGGUCCAGACUCCUACGGGAGGCAGCAGUAAGGAAUCUUCCACAAUGGGGGCAACCCUGAUGGAGCAACGCCGCGUGCAGGAUGAAUGUUUUCGGAUUGUAAACUGCUUUUAUAUGUGACGAAUAUGACGGUAGCAUAUGAAUAAGGAUCGGCUAACUCCGUGCCAGCAGCCGCGGUCAUACGGAGGAUCCAAGCGUUAUCCGGAUUUACUGGGCGUAAAGAGUUGCGUAGGUGGUUUGCCAAGUUUCCGUUUAAAUGCCAAGGCUCAACCUUGGAAGUGACGGAAAAACUGGCAAACUCGAGAAUGAGAGAGGUCACUGGAUUUACUAGUGUAGGAGUGAAAUCCGUAGAUAUUAGUAGGAACACCAAUGGCGUAGGCAGGUGACUGGCUCAUUUCUGACACUGAGGCACGAAAGCGUGGGGAGCGAACGGGAUUAGAUACCCCGGUAGUCCACGCCGUAAACGAUGGAUGCUAGCUGUAAGGAGUAUCGACCCUUCUUGUAGCGAAGCUAACGC